Molecule: ribosomal RNA, 293 nt
Filed under: uncultured bacterium
Lineage: Bacteria
Description: partial 16S ribosomal RNA
Rfam family: Archaeal small subunit ribosomal RNA
Source: RNAcentral
GUGCCAGCCGCCGCGGUAAUACCGGCAGCCCGAGUGAUGGCCGAUCUUAUUGGGCCUAAAGCGUCCGUAGCUGGCCGCGCAAGUCCAUCGGGAAAUCCACCCGCCCAACGGGUGGCCGUCCGGUGGAAACUGCACGGCUUGGGACCGGAAGGCGCGACGGGUACGUCCAGGGUAGGAGUGAAAUCCCGUAAUCCCGGACGGACUACCGAUGGCGAAAGCACUCUGAGAAGACGGCUUCGACAGUGAGGGACGAAAGCUCGGGUCUCAAACCGGAUUAGAAACCCUGGUAGUCC